CGUGGUAAAGAAACAAACAUACGAGGACACUAAACGUAACGUGGAACCUCCGUACUAAACGUGGAUAAUAACUUUGGAACAACCGCUAGAUGUGUUUUUCAGGAGCCACGCUUCCGUGAAUAAAAGGUCAACGAUAUGUUAAACGAACAACCCAGUGACAAGAGAAACCUAACAGCAGUUCUCCUUGGUUGCUUUUGAAAUACAACGACGAUGAGGACGAUGACGACAAUGACAACGAGUCAUGGGAUACUCAAACUUACUCGGCCCAAUUUCCGUGAAGCUCUCAAGCGUUACGAGGCCACUGGGCAUUCCUAAAUUACAGUUGGUACUUCCGCCACCUAGUAUCUACGCUGUUAAUCUACAGUAUGUUCCAUGAACUCGACGUAAGUGUGUUUCAUUUUACUAUCUAUCGAGAAAAAAUACAGGAAACCUAGAGAUGAGAAUAUUGUCGAGCUUAGAUAUACGUAAAUGGAAUUGGAUUACAAUUUUUUUUAAUCUUAAUAUUAAAACAUAGUAUAUUUUUGAUGGAAAAGUAUAUUUUUUAAUUGAACAUAAUCCAAACCAAGAUUAGAAAAUUCUACUGCAUGGAUAUGGCAAUCAAUAAAA
Long non-coding RNA from Polistes canadensis, 606 nucleotides. RefSeq lists it as uncharacterized. The transcript has 3 exons. The record is from RefSeq and is a predicted model, not a curated record. NCBI's taxonomy places the organism in Eukaryota, Metazoa, Arthropoda, Insecta, Hymenoptera, Vespidae.